GAUCCAAACACAGGCAAAGCAAGAGAUUCCUGCCUUAACACUGGCAAAGAGAUCCCUGCGAUCCUUCUCUGAUCAGCCACUGGAUUCCCCCUCAGUCUGUGAGCCAGAAGCUCGGGAACCAGCUGCAUGGCCCCCCAGGGCCAGGCUCUUGGGGAAUGGAGCUGAGAACCCGCCUUCCUUUCUCAGCAUCAAGAGAAACAGACUUUUCCCGCUGACCUUCUAAGUUGUCUUUGGCAUUAGUUGAUUGAGGAGUCUGGAAACCUCUACAGCUGCCUGUGAUUCACUCCUCUGAGGCCUGCUCCAGGUUCCCUGCAGCCUGAGCACCCAAGCUGAGCUGCAUUCCCAGCCUGGCGUGAUACACCUUUCUGAUCAAUCUUCCAGGGAACCACCAUCAUGCCAUUGCUGUCUUCUAUUCUGUAUGAUGAUGAAGAGUUCCCUAAUCCAGACCAGUUUGACCCAGGUCACUUCCUGGAUGAAAGUGGCAACUUUAAGAAGAGCGACUAUUUUCAUGCCUUUUUCAACAGGAAAAUGGAUAUGUGCUGGUGAGAGUCUGGCUUGGAUGGAAUUAUUUCUGUUUUUUACUACAUCUUACAAAAUUUUACCUUGAAAUCUCCCAUUGACUCAAAAGAUAUCAACAACACCUCAGUUGCCAGUGGAUUAAUCAAAGUACCCCCUUGUAUGAGCUCUGCUUUCUCGCUUUCUAAAACAUGUGAAGGACUAGCCCUAGUUCCAACUGCUCUAGAGUCUCCUCACAUUCUAUGACAAGAUGUAUUCAUUCCAUUGCCUGCCAAUGAAAGCCCUCUAUGAUUUCAGUCCAAUAUACUCUUCUAGCAUAAUCUAAUACUCCCUUUGACUUUUGCCAAAAUCACAAUUUAAUUUUCCUCAACCUUCCUUAGAAAUUCCCUGUUGCAGGAAUAUUUCUUCUUUUUUCUUCACUUCAACUCCUCUUGUUGCCCACAACCAGAUUGUACACUGAACGGAGAGGCGUGAAAUAACUUAUGACAUGGGCCAGGUGGAGUAGAAUUACUGACUCUGUUUAUUCAUCUGAGGGCACAGAAUAUAUAGGGAAAAUCUAGCCUAACUUCAAAGAGUCCUCCCCGUGAGAUACUCCCCAGAAUAUCUGCUGAGGAUGUAACAAUAAUGAAUUUCCUCCUUAUCAGGGUUCCUAGAUUGGGCUGUAGAUUCCAAGGUUUUCCCAGGCACCUAGGCGCCACCUGCAUAGAGGAGUAAAUAUGUAAACCUAAGGUUCAAAGAGAGAGAAGGGAUGUCUCAGAGACCUCUUUAUCAGGAAGGAAUUUGGGGAGCCGUACCACUUAAUCCCCUGAGCCCUUUGGGAUGAAAGCCUGAGCAGAGGUCAAACUCUGCCUUGGAUCUUAAACCCUUAUCAGACUCUUAAGAUCGGCCCUCAACAUCCACUGACAGAAAUCUCACCCACCCUUCUAAUCACAAUUUAGGUGCCAUAUCCCUGUGAUCUCUUUAGUUCUUAUAGUCUGUAUAAUUCAAUCUAAGCCUGAAUUACACAUAUGCAUCUUACGUUGUGUGUUCUUUCCGACAUGUUUAUUGAUCCUCUUGUGUUCCUCACCAAAUCUUAAGAUUCUUUUUAGUAG
This 1607-nucleotide long non-coding RNA is filed under the name Phascolarctos cinereus (koala). RNAcentral's name for it is "lncRNA (ENSPCIG00000033755.1)". The record is from RNAcentral. Lineage: Eukaryota; Metazoa; Chordata; Mammalia; Diprotodontia; Phascolarctidae.